UGUUAAAAAUUUUAUCAAUUUCUACUGUUAAAAAAUAGCAUGGUUGAUAAAAUAAUGAAACAGUUAUUUUGACAUACAGGGUCUUAUUUUUAACAAUAAAAAUGGAUGGAUUUUUUAACA
This is a non-coding RNA of Gossypium arboreum, 120 nucleotides long. The record is from Rfam. Lineage: Eukaryota; Viridiplantae; Streptophyta; Magnoliopsida; Malvales; Malvaceae.